GGCUACCAUGCAGUCGAGCGAGAUCUUCGGAUCUAGCGGCGGACGGGUGAGUAACGCGUGGGAACGUACCCUCUUCUGCGGGAUAGCCACUGGAAACGGUGAGUAAUACCGCAUACGCCCUUCGGGGGAAAGAUUUAUCGGAGGAGGAUCGGCCCGCGUUGGAUUAGGUAGUUGGUGGGGUAAUGGCCUACCAAGCCUACGAUCCAUAGCUGGUUUUAGAGGAUGAUCAGCCACACUGGGACUGAGACACGGCCCAGACUCCUACGGGAGGCAGCAGUGGGGAAUCUUAGACAAUGGGCGCAAGCCUGAUCUAGCCAUGCCGCGUGAGUGACGAAGGCCUUAGGGUCGUAAAGCUCUUUCGCCUGUGAUGAUAAUGACAGUAGCAGGUAAAGAAACCCCGGCUAACUCCGUGCCAGCAGCCGCGGUAAUACGGAGGGGGUUAGCGUUGUUCGGAAUUACUGGGCGUAAAGCGCACGUAGGCGGAUUGGAAAGUAUGGGGUGAAAUCCCAGGGCUCAACCCUGGAACGGCCUCAUAAACUUCCAGUCUGGAGUUCGAGAGAGGUGAGUGGAAUUCCGAGUGUAGAGGUGAAAUUCGUAGAUAUUCGGAGGAACACCAGUGGCGAAGGCGGCUCACUGGCUCGAUACUGACGCUGAGGUGCGAAAGUGUGGGGAGCAAACAGGAUUAGAUACCCUGGUAGUCCACAC
Molecule: ribosomal RNA, 705 nt
Filed under: Roseovarius sp.
Lineage: Bacteria; Pseudomonadati; Pseudomonadota; Alphaproteobacteria; Rhodobacterales; Roseobacteraceae
Description: bacterial SSU rRNA
Rfam family: Bacterial small subunit ribosomal RNA
Source: RNAcentral